AGAUUGAACGCUGGCGGAAUGCUUUACACAUGCAAGUCGAACGGCAGCACGGGGGCAACCCUGGUGGCGAGUGGCGAACGGGUGAGUAACACAUCGGAACGUGCCCAGUCGUGGGGGAUAACUACGCGAAAGCGUAGCUAAUACCGCAUACGAACUCUGGUUGAAAGCGGGGGACUCGCAAGAGCCUCGCGCGAUUGGAGCGGCCGAUGGCAGAUUAGGUAGUUGGUGGGGUAAAGGCUCACCAAGCCGACGAUCUGUAGCUGGUCUGAGAGGACGACCAGCCACACUGGGACUGAGACACGGCCCAGACUCCUACGGGAGGCAGCAGUGGGGAAUUUUGGACAAUGGGCGCAAGCCUGAUCCAGCCAUUCCGCGUGCAGGAUGAAGGCCCUCGGGUUGUAAACUGUCUUUUGUACGGAACGAAAAGCGCUGAGUUAACUACCUCGGCGUCAUGACGGUACCGUAAGAAUAAGCACCGCUAACUAGUCGCCAG
RNAcentral lists this ribosomal RNA (493 nucleotides) under uncultured soil bacterium. RNAcentral's name for it is "bacterial SSU rRNA". It matches the Rfam family "Bacterial small subunit ribosomal RNA", at positions 26 to 511 of the family's 1533-position model. The record is from RNAcentral.